This is a long non-coding RNA of Piliocolobus tephrosceles (Ugandan red Colobus), 3133 nucleotides long. The record is from Ensembl. NCBI's taxonomy places the organism in Eukaryota, Metazoa, Chordata, Mammalia, Primates, Cercopithecidae.
AAGAUUUGUUGUUUAUAGGAGCGAUGAAUCUCCUUAUAAAAACUUUUUACUAUACGUAGAAGAAAUUAAGAACACUAAUGUUUUUUAUCCAAUUAAAUAUGUUUAUGUUAGCAUAAAAAAACUACCAAAUGAUUUUUAAAAUAAAUAUAUGAUAAUUUUUUAAAAUUGUGUUUAUGUAUUUAUAUGUUUAUGUAUGAAGAAAUGUAUUUAUAUAUGGAUAUAAUAAAUAUGUUGUCCAACUAUAUCGUAAUUUUUACUUUUUUAAGGACAUACCAUUAAAAUAUUAUGAAAAUUUAAUAGUUUAUAAAAAAAAAGAUAUAAAGAAUCAAAAUUUACAUACGUUUUGUGAAGAAAAAAAAUCAUUUUACGAAAAUAAAGACAAACAAAUAAAAUGCUUCUGUAGUUAUUGUCCUUCUUAUCCUAUUUUCCCAUUAUAUUCGCAUUUAAAAUAUAUAAAAGGAAAGCUUUUUUGCAACGAUAAAGGUAAAAUAAAAAAAAAAAAAAAAAAAAAACUUUACUUAUAAUUUUUCUAAAACGUGUUAAAAUUCUUUACGUUUUUAUUUUUAUAAAACUUAUUUUUAUCUAUUAUGAGACAAAAUGCUCAACUUGUUUGCUCAUUUUUUUGUUCAUUUUUUUACUCAUUUUUUUACUCAUUUUUUUACUCUUUUUUUUUUUUGUCCUACUUUUUAUUUAUAUUUCAUUUAUUUUUUACUAAAUACAGAAAAAGACGAAUUAAUACUGUAUUGCUUAGAAAAAACAGAUAAAACAUAUCAUGGGUUUCUUAUUGAAAAGAGCGAGAAUUUUUAUAAGCUAAACGUUACUUUACAACAGUUCGAUUUCAAUGAUGAGAGUCUUAUAGCUAGCAAUAACCAAUCAACAUUAGAACGAAGAUCAUACAUUUUAGACGAAUAUAAUUCAGAAAUUAAUGAUGAAGUGUUUAGAGUAAAGAUUAAAUUUAAUUUUGAAAAGACGAACAAGGGAGGUUCCAUCGAAGGAAAUUAUCUAUUUGUUGAUUCAGACACGUUUAAAGAAAAGGUAGAAUCUGAGGACUUGAUAAUAGAUGAAGACAUUUUAAAAGACUCUUUCAUAGUCGAUCCUACACAUGUUGAUAAAAUAAAACUACAAAAUGCAGAAACAACAACACUGACAGAACAAACCGAGUGUGAUAAAAUAAGAAGCUAUCCAUCGACAUAUGGAACCCCUAAUGGAUCAUGUAAUUAUAUGACAAAAAAAAAAUGUUUUAAUCAUAAAUACACACUUUCACCUUUUAUAAGAUUUGAAAAUAUAAUUAAUAACAGAGAGAAGAUUUUUGCUAAUUAUUUUUUUUUUUUUCUUAAAAAAAAAAAUAAUAUGGAUUUUGAAGAUAGUAUAUAUAAUUUUACUAAUAAAAACAAAAACAUUUUUUCAAAAUAUGAAAAAAUAAAAGAUGAAGAAGAGUUAGAUUAUUUAUUAAAAAAAAAAAAAGAAAAAAAAAAUGACAAUAUUGAACAUAAAUAUAUAAAUAAUAAUACAAGCUUAAUUACAGAUAUAGAAGAUAAAUAUUACAUAGCUUUAGGUAAAAAAAAAAAUAAUUUUCUUACUAUAACAUCAUAUAAUAAUGAACCAUUAAAAAUUAAAUAUAAUAAAGAAAAAACAGGAAUUUCUAUAUCGUUUAUUCAUAAAUUAAGUGAUUGUUCUGACUUUUAUAAUCAGUCAAGUAAAACAUGUACUAUUUAUUUAAGUAUUUGGAAUGAAGAUGAUAUAGAAAAGGAGUUAAAUAUUUUUCUAAAAUGUUCUAAACAAAUAGUUAAUAAUAUUGAAACAAUUAAAAAAAAUAUAAUUUUAUGUAAAAAUUGUGAACAAUCAACUAUUAUUAAAUUUGAACCUAUUGUGGAUUUACUUAUUACACCAUGUCAUAUACAAAUUUCUAAAAAUAAUACUAAUAACAUAAAUGAUAUACAAAAAAAAAAUUUACGUGAUAAAACAAUAUCAGAAGAAAAUGAACAUACACAAUAUUAUAAUUUUAGCAUAGGAGAUGAAAUUGAUAAAGUAAGUAAUACUUAUUUUGGAGAAGAUAUAAGUGAUUAUAAAAACGAAGGUGGUAUUUAUUAUGUAGGGGAUAGAAAUAGUGAUACAAUUUACAUGGAUAGAAAUAAGUUAGACAGUAAAGAUUAUAUUGAUUUAUCAAACAAUAACUAUAAUGAAUUUUAUUUAGAAGAAACAAACAUAUACAAUAUGUUAAGUGUUGAAGAAAACCAAGAAAUAAAUAAUGAACCAAAAAUUAAUUCAGCAUUUAUAACACCUUUAAAGUUUAACGCACCAAAACAUAUUUUAGAUUUACAUAUAAACAGGAUAGAAUUACUAUCAGAAAUAAAUAAUUAUGCAAUUGAUCCUAUACAAAUUGUUAACAUAGACAAUAAUGAUAACAUAAAACAAAAUAUAGCUAUAAUGUUUUUAAUAUGGUUAAAAGAAAAUUAUAUACAUUCUUUAAUUUUUUUUUUUUUUUUUUUUUUUUUUUUUAUAGUACCUAGUUUAAACAUAGUAAAAAAAAAAAUGGGUCAUAAAACUUGGUUUUAUAAAUUAAUUAAAAUUCGUUUACUUAUUUUAUGGUCUUUGCAAGAUCUUUUUAUUGCUUUAAAAAAAAUACCUUAUAAAUUGUAUAGAAUUACUAAAAAGAUAAUAAAAUAUAUUUUUCGUUUUUUUUAUAAAGCUUUCUUAAUUUUGUUUCAAAGUAAAGACCAAUUAAUUGAUCAAAUGCAUAAAGAAAAUGAAGCACAAAGAAGAUUAUAUGAAAAAAAAAAAAAAAAAAAAAAUUGUUAUAUGCAAAAAAACAAAAAAAGAAAAAAGCACUAUUGCAAAAUAGAAAAAAAAUAUUAUUAAAAUAUGAAAGAAAUUUUAAAAGGAAUAGGGGUGAGUAUGUGAGUAGGGAGUUUAGUGGAACAGAAACUUCAACAUAUAGUGAAAUAUCCAAUAUAACUGAUGAUGGAAACAUACUUGACGAAGCCUCUGACACGUCCACUACAAAUAAUCCUAAUACAAAACGUAAUACAAACAAUCGUAGUACACAGGAAAUACCAAUUAAAAAAAAAAAUGAAGAAAAUAAGGAUAUAAAUCAACAGAUAAGUGAAAUAAGUAUGGCAUAAAAAUAGGGGGA